Molecule: non-coding RNA, 394 nt
Organism: Paramormyrops kingsleyae
Lineage: Eukaryota; Metazoa; Chordata; Actinopteri; Osteoglossiformes; Mormyridae
Source: RefSeq, a predicted model, not a curated record
UCCCCCCUUUAGUCAAAUACCUUUCCGGCGUUGUCGUCAAAUAUGUCCAAACCCCUAUAGACUAUGUAAAAAUCGGAUUACAGUUCUUCAUUAAAAUCCCCGUUUUAAACCAAAGUGGACAAUGUUAUCAAGGGGACUUGAAGCAGCUAAUAAUGUGGGGAAUGAAUCACAACGUGAGCUGGUCCUUUGGCGAGUCACUCAUGGAUAUUUUCCUGACACCGGAACCAGCUCCUUGCAGCUACAUGAGCUUUGGAUGCCAUGGUGCGCCUAGCGCUCCUUCAGCCCGGACACUGGCCACAGAGAUCCCCGCUCCCCUACUGGACUGUGACCAGCAUCACAUCUCCAGCCUCAAUGAAACUUUCUGCUCCGAGUUCCUCUCCCUGGGGCUACAGAA